This 490-nucleotide ribosomal RNA is filed under the name uncultured bacterium. RNAcentral describes it as "partial 16S ribosomal RNA". It matches the Rfam family "Bacterial small subunit ribosomal RNA", at positions 29 to 507 of the family's 1533-position model. The record is from RNAcentral.
AGUGAACGCUGGCGGUAGGCCUAACACAUGCAAGUCGAACGGCAGCACAGGAGAGCUUGCUCUCUAGGUGGCGAGUGGCGGACGGGUGAGGAAUACAUCGGAAUCUGCCCAGUCGUGGGGGAUAACGUAGGGAAACUUACGCUAAUACCGCAUACGACCUUCGGGUGAAAGAGGGGGAUCGCAAGACCUCUCGCGAUUGGAUGAGCCGAUGUCGGAUUAGCUAGUUAGCGGGGUAAUGGCACACCAAGGCGACGAUCCGUAGCUGGUCUGAGAGGAUGAUCAGCCACACUGGAACUGAGACACGGUCCAGACUCCUACGGGAGGCAGCAGUGGGGAAUAUUGGACAAUGGGCGCAAGCCUGAUCCAGCCAUACCGCGUGGGUGAAGAAGGCCUUCGGGUUGUAAAGCCCUUUUGUUGGGAAAGAAAUCUUUCAGGCUAAUACCCUGGGAGGAUGACGGUACCCAAAGAAUAAGCACCGGCUAACUUCGUG